CCCUUAGAUGUCCUGGGCCGCACGCGUGCUACACUGACACUUACACCGAGUUUUUCCAAUGCCGAAAGGCCAUUGGUAAUCAGCAAAAAGUGUCGUGAUGGGGAUAGAUCUUUGGAAUUAUUGAUCUUGAACGAGGAAUGCCUAGUAAUCGUAGGUCAUCAGCCUGCGAUGAUUACGUCCCUGCCCUUUGUACACACCGCCCGUCGCUCCUACCGAUUUCGAGUGGUUCGGUGAACCUUUCGGACCGGCAAUGCCUCGUGUUGCGCCGGAAAGUCAAGUAAACCAUAUCACUUAGAGGAAGGAGAANUCGUANCA
This 315-nucleotide ribosomal RNA is filed under the name uncultured eukaryote. RNAcentral describes it as "partial 18S ribosomal RNA". It matches the Rfam family "Eukaryotic small subunit ribosomal RNA", at positions 1470 to 1796 of the family's 1831-position model. The record is from RNAcentral.